AGGCCUAUACGUCUACAACACCUAUUGCACCUACUGAUUACCUACAACACGCCAGACCUAUGGCCUCGGGUUGAAAUUUAACCGGNGCCAAAGUGCUAUAUUACCUCGACUUUUAUGGGUAACCGAAGUCGUAUCCCUAUUUCAUUUAAUGAACUUAACCUACACACUUUGCAUUUGCGCAACAACUUCUUCCUUUGAGUUAGUCUCUCUUNUGCGGGUUCCUCCUCCACCGCCACUCCUUGGGUCAUCGCGCCACCCCUGUGCUGCUAUUGCUCUGCCUGCCACUGCUUGGUACCGUUCUAGGUCGCGCAUUCUCCGUUCGCCGUCACGCCAUUGGUGCCCUGCCACUGCUGCCUNCGGUGCUUCCGCCAACUACUCCACUACUCUGUCGUCGUUGUAGCCUCCGCCGCUGCUGCCUAUGCCACUACUACCUCCACUGUUGCUGCCUCCGCCGCUGCUGCCUCUACCAUUGUUGCCUCCAUCGGUGUUGCCUUCACCNCUGUUUCAAUCUUGCUGCCUGCAUUGAGGUUGGUUGGCAGAAAGAGAAGCAAAUUUUAUGUUUGGAUAGUUUUAUUUGUUGUGAUUGAUUGGUUGUUUG
This 598-nucleotide long non-coding RNA is filed under the name Vigna radiata. RNAcentral's name for it is "long non-coding RNA (VRAD_LNC018144)". Lineage: Eukaryota; Viridiplantae; Streptophyta; Magnoliopsida; Fabales; Fabaceae. The record is from RNAcentral.